RNAcentral lists this unclassified non-coding RNA (138 nucleotides) under soil metagenome. Its description in RNAcentral is "partial internal transcribed spacer 1". The record is from RNAcentral.
CCUAGAGUUGUAGGCUUUGCCUGUUAUCUCUUACCCAUGUCUUUUGAGUACCUUCGUUUCCUCGGCGGGUCCGCCCGCCGAUUGGACAAUUUAAACCAUUUGCAGUUGCAAUCAGCGUCUGAAAAAACUUAAUAGUUA